Molecule: ribosomal RNA, 420 nt
Filed under: uncultured bacterium
Lineage: Bacteria
Description: bacterial SSU rRNA
Rfam family: Bacterial small subunit ribosomal RNA
Source: RNAcentral
GACCCCGCACAAGCGGCGGAGCAUGCGGCUUAAUUCGAUGAUACGCGAGGAACCUUACCAGGGCUUAAAUGCAGAACGACCGGGGUGGAAACACCCCUUUCUUCGGACGGUCUGCAAGGUGCUGCAUGGUUGUCGUCAGCUCGUGCUGUGAAGUGUCGGGUUAAGUCCCAUAACGAGCGCAACCCCUAUUUCUAGUUGCCAGCGGUUCGGCCGGGGACUCUAGAGAAACUGCCAGCGUAAGCUGUGAGGAAGGUGGGGAUGACGUCAAAUCAUCACGGCCCUUACGUCCUGGGCCACACACGUGCUACAAUGGUGGGGACAACGAGUCGCUAACCCGCGAGGGUAAGCUAAUCUUCAAACCCCAUCUCAGUUCGGAUCGGAGUCUGCAACUCGACUCCGUGAAGUUGGAAUCGCUAGUAA